This 474-nucleotide ribosomal RNA is filed under the name Flavobacterium sp. DB3.1-9. Its description in RNAcentral is "bacterial SSU rRNA". It matches the Rfam family "Bacterial small subunit ribosomal RNA", at positions 11 to 486 of the family's 1533-position model. The record is from RNAcentral. Lineage: Bacteria; Pseudomonadati; Bacteroidota; Flavobacteriia; Flavobacteriales; Flavobacteriaceae.
GUUUGAUCCUGGCUCAGGAUGAACGCUAGCGGCAGGCUUAACACAUGCAAGUCGAGGGGUAUAGUUCUUCGGAACUAGAGACCGGCGCACGGGUGCGUAACGCGUAUGCAAUCUACCUUUUACAGAGGGAUAGCCCAGAGAAAUUUGGAUUAAUACCUCAUAGUAUUAUGAAAUGGCAUCAUUUUAUAAUUAAAGUCACAACGGUAAAAGAUGAGCAUGCGUCCCAUUAGCUAGUUGGUAAGGUAACGGCUUACCAAGGCUACGAUGGGUAGGGGUCCUGAGAGGGAGAUCCCCCACACUGGUACUGAGACACGGACCAGACUCCUACGGGAGGCAGCAGUGAGGAAUAUUGGACAAUGGGCGCAAGCCUGAUCCAGCCAUGCCGCGUGCAGGAUGACGGUCCUAUGGAUUGUAAACUGCUUUUAUACAGGAAGAAACACUGGUUCGUGAACCAGCUUGACGGUAUCGUAAGAA